This 912-nucleotide long non-coding RNA is filed under the name Nicotiana benthamiana. RNAcentral describes it as "long non-coding RNA (NBEN_LNC030849)". Lineage: Eukaryota; Viridiplantae; Streptophyta; Magnoliopsida; Solanales; Solanaceae. The record is from RNAcentral.
UUUUUUAGAUUUGGUGUAAAAAAUAGAGUACCACGGGAGAGAUGGCAACGUACUUCAAAUUUCUGGCACGAGGCCAUUUUUGCAAAACGUUUCUUCAUGGAUCAAAUAAUUAAACGGUGGCACUAGUCCUUUUUUUGCAAAUCUCCCUUUCGUAAAGUUUUUGUUAUUGGCAGCCUAAACCUGAUCGACUGCUAAUUUCCCAAUUUCACCGAAGGGUUCGAACUAGGGUUUUCUCACUCGAACAGUAUCGGGAAAGGGAAGAGUAAAAUCGAGACCAUAGAGAUUAAGCCAAAUUCGGCGGUUUGCGAUGGAUCUAGAGGUGGUGGGACGCCAUGCCCUACUCUUCGACGACGACGCCAUGGCGGCGUUCGUCAACUCCGACGACGCUCUUGUCGAAUGGAAUUCUCUCCAAAUUGAUCGUUACGAUGUCCGCCACCUUCUCUCCGCGCCUCCACCUUCCCGCCGGCGGUCUCACUCCUCUACGUCUUCGAAUCUCGUCGAUUCUUCGAUUCAGUUCGAGCUCGAUCAUGAACGCUACCUCGAUCUUCCUUCGCCUUCAGAUGAACCAGGUAAACUUGACUCUUGUUUCCUUUUUUUUUCUUUUUUUUUUAAAAUUCUAACAUUGCGUGGAUAACUUUUUCAUGUAUUAUAACCUCCACCUUCCCGCCGGCGGUCUCACUCUUCUACGUCUUCGAAUCUCGUCGAUGCUUCGAUUCAGUUCGAGCUCGAUCAUGAACGUUACCUCGAUCUUCCUUCGUCUUCAGAUGAACCAGGUACACAUAACUCUUGUUUCCUUCUUUUUUUUUUUUUUUACUAAAAUUCUAACAUUGCCUGGAUAACUUUUUCAUGUAUUAUAUUAUGUUAAUAGUGUUAUGUUCUAAUUUAGCGUAAAUAAUCAGGAUGCUAACCAUC